CCUACGGGAGGCAGCAGUGGGGAAUCUUGCGCAAUGGGCGAAAGCCUGACGCAGCAACGCCGCGUGCGGGAAGAAGGCCCUAGGGUUGUAAACCGCUUUCAGUAGGAACGAAAAUGACGGUACCUGCAGAAGAAGGUGCGGCCAACUACGUGCCAGCAGCCGCGGUGACACGUAGGCACCAAGUGUUGUCCGGAUUUAUUGGGCGUAAAGAGCUCGUAGGCGGUUCAGUAAGUCGGGUGUGAAAACUCUGGGCUUAACCCAGAGCCGCCACUCGAUACUGCUGUGACUUGAGUUCGGUAGGGGAGCGGGGAAUUCCUAGUGUAGCGGUGAAAUGCGCAGAUAUUAGGAGGAACACCGGUGGCGAAGGCGCCGCUCUGGGCCGAUACUGACGCUGAGGAGCGAAAGCGUGGGUAGCAAACAGGAUUAGAUACCCUGGUAGUCCACGCCGUAAACGUUGGGCACUAGGUGUGGGUUCCAACCAACGGAAUCCGCGCCGUCGCUAACGCAUUAAGUGCCCCGCCUGGGGAGUACGGCGGCAACGCUAAAACUCAAAUGAAUUGACGG
This 564-nucleotide ribosomal RNA is filed under the name uncultured bacterium. Its description in RNAcentral is "bacterial SSU rRNA". It matches the Rfam family "Bacterial small subunit ribosomal RNA", at positions 338 to 916 of the family's 1533-position model. The record is from RNAcentral.